Molecule: ribosomal RNA, 253 nt
Filed under: uncultured bacterium
Lineage: Bacteria
Description: partial 16S ribosomal RNA
Rfam family: Bacterial small subunit ribosomal RNA
Source: RNAcentral
UACGAAGGGGGCUAGCGUUGCUCGGAAUCACUGGGCGUAAAGCGCACGUAGGCGGAUUGCUAAGUCAGGGGUGAAAUCCUGGAGCUCAACUCCAGAACUGCCCUUGAUACUGGCGGUCUCGAGUCCGGGAGAGGUGAGUGGAACUGCGAGUGUAGAGGUGAAAUUCGUAGAUAUUCGGAAGAACACCAGUGGCGAAGGCGGCUCACUGGUCCGGUACUGACGCUGAGGUGCGAAAGCGUGGGGAGCAAACAGG